Non-coding RNA from Callorhinus ursinus (northern fur seal), 404 nucleotides. The record is from RefSeq and is a predicted model, not a curated record. NCBI's taxonomy places the organism in Eukaryota, Metazoa, Chordata, Mammalia, Carnivora, Otariidae.
AUGGAAUUUGAUGCUCCUCUAUCACAUGCAGUCGGAGACCAGGAUGAUGACAAGGGUAGACGAAAGAUCGUCUGGGAGAGCAAGUAGGCUUCUCUCUACUUGCUGGCGAACAGAGCAAAUUCGUGAGACAGUCUCCAAGUUCCUAAUGGUUUUCCUGAUAAAGGGGAAGCGCGUGCUGAAGCGGAGACGGAAAUGUGCUCUUUCGAACCACAAACAUCUGGCUUGGAUGGACACACACGUGGACAGAGUUGUUUGACUCAAUCUUGUGUUUAAGUUGGACUCGAAUGACACUCAGCACCACGUGGGAGCCACCCUCCUAUCGCAGAGACAACAUUCUCUGGCAGAACAAACAGCACAGACAUGAAUUUUAAUCGAGGAAAUAUGCCGGGCUUCAGAUCAAUAAA